This 208-nucleotide ribosomal RNA is filed under the name uncultured bacterium. RNAcentral describes it as "partial 16S ribosomal RNA". It matches the Rfam family "Bacterial small subunit ribosomal RNA", at positions 1295 to 1500 of the family's 1533-position model. The record is from RNAcentral.
GGACUGUGGUCUGCAACCCGACCACACGAAGCUGGAAUCGCUAGUAAUCGCGGAUCAGAAUGCCGCGGUGAAUACGUUCCCGGGUCUUGUACACACCGCCCGUCACACCAUGGGAGUCAGCAACGCCCGAAGUCAGUGACCCAACCAUUAUAGGAGGGAGCUGCCGAAGGCGGGGCAGGUGACUGGGGUGAAGUCGUAACAAGGUAAC